AACAAUAUUGGGCAAACCGACCGAAAGGCAGGGACGCAAAGCCAUGGGUCUAAGGCAUUUAGCUAAGAUUGCCAGGCUGCAAAC
This 84-nucleotide non-coding RNA is filed under the name Desulfotruncus arcticus DSM 17038. RNAcentral describes it as "c-di-GMP-I riboswitch aptamer". It matches the Rfam family "c-di-GMP-I riboswitch aptamer". Rfam says of the family: GEMM was predicted in a large-scale screen for bacterial structured RNA regulatory elements. Genes associated with GEMM are involved in a diverse array of functions, including chemotaxis regulation, signal transduction, secretion and chitin. Lineage: Bacteria; Bacillati; Bacillota; Clostridia; Eubacteriales; Desulfallaceae. The record is from Rfam by way of RNAcentral.